Molecule: ribosomal RNA, 254 nt
Filed under: uncultured Armatimonadota bacterium
Lineage: Bacteria; Bacillati; Armatimonadota
Also listed under: 1 other name
Description: uncultured Armatimonadetes bacterium partial 16S ribosomal RNA
Rfam family: Bacterial small subunit ribosomal RNA
Source: RNAcentral
UACGUAGGGGGCGAGCGUUGUCCGAAGUUACUGGGCGUAAAGCGCGCGUAGGCGGGUUUUUAAGUGAGAGGUGAAAGGUUCAGGGCUCAACCCGGACACUGCCUUUCAUACUGGGAGCCUUGAGUGCAGGAGAGGCGAGUGGAAUGGUCGGUGUAGCGGUGAAAUGCGUAGAUAUCGAUCGGAACACCCAUGGCGAAGGCAGCUCGCUGGCCUGUAACUGACGCUGAGGUGCGAAAGCGUGGGGAGCAAACAGG